RNAcentral lists this ribosomal RNA (535 nucleotides) under uncultured Campylobacterota bacterium. RNAcentral describes it as "bacterial SSU rRNA". It matches the Rfam family "Bacterial small subunit ribosomal RNA", at positions 864 to 1393 of the family's 1533-position model. Lineage: Bacteria; Pseudomonadati; Campylobacterota. The record is from RNAcentral.
AUGUACCGCCUGGGGAGUACGGUCGCAAGAUUAAAACUCAAAGGAAUAGACGGGGACCCGCACAAGCGGUGGAGCAUGUGGUUUAAUUCGACGAUACGCGAAGAACCUUACCUGGCCUUGACAUAGAAAGAAUUUAGCAGAGAUGUAAAAGUGCUAGUUUACUAGAGCUUUCAUACAGGUGCUGCACGGCUGUCGUCAGCUCGUGUCGUGAGAUGUUAGGUUAAGUCCUGCAACGAGCGCAACCCUCGUGUUUAGUUACUAACAGAUUAUGCUGAGGACUCUAGACAUACUGCCUGGGCAACCAGGAGGAAGGUGAGGACGACGUCAAGUCAUCAUGGCCCUUACGGCCAGGGCUACACACGUGCUACAAUGGGGUAUACAAAGAGCAGCGAUACCGCGAGGUGGAGCAAAUCUCAUAAAAUAUCUCCCAGUUCGGAUUACACUCUGCAACUCGAGUGUAUGAAGUUGGAAUCGCUAGUAAUCGUAGAUCAAGCAAUGCUACGGUGAAUACGUUCCCGGGUCUUGUACUCACCGC